GUUAAAUGAUUAAUUGGUGGAAAAAUAAUUAUUGUGGGAGCAUUUUUAAUUUGGUAUGAUAAUAAGAGGCAAUAUUUGAUUGCUCUAAAAGGACGUUAGUUUAAGUGAGAAACUUAAGCAAUCAAUAUCUAUAUAAUAUAUUAAAAAAAAAAAAGGCAUUUAAAUUAAGUAAAUCAACAUUCUUUUCUAUUUAAAUCAACUUUAGACUUCAAAUAUAUAUAUAACAAGUGGUAAUAGAAAAGCAAGGGAACCCUUUUCUUUUUUUUCUUUUGCAAAAACAAAAAAAGAAAUUGAAAAUGUAAACGAGGGAAGGGACUUUUUUUACCGUUUGAUUACGCCUAGAAGAAUUCCAAGGGCAACCCCUUUUGACCCUAACAAAAGAAAGCAAUUCCUAUUACUUAUCUCUCUACUUCUUCACCAGCCCCCCCUCCCACGCCCUGAAAUGUCAUAUUGUCGUGCCCGUGGAGUUUAAAUACGUCACCCUUGAUUGAAAAAGGACGAUUGUUUGAUGUCCCUACAACAAACAACUCGUGUGAUUAUUGUAUUCAAAUUAGCAGUUGAUAUAUAGAGAGAGUUAGAGAACUCAUAACUUUAUACACAACGACUCAAUUAGUAUUUGUCAAAACGAUCACAAUUAAAUCAAAGGACAUUUGUAUAUGGUGAGGAAAAUGAAGUUUGUGGUCCAUAUAUAUAUAUAUAUCCUUUGCGUCCGGUGACAAGAAAGUUAAGUAUGAAAGUAUGAUAUUGGUAACAUUAAAUUGGUUUGAUAAAAGUGGAAAACUAGUGAAAGAGAUAGAGAUGAUAAAGAAAGGUAUAUGAAUGGAAAAUACAAUGACAUCCACAGAAUUGGGUGUUGAAAAUUACCUUAGAAUGGCUGUACAUAAAGCACUAACUUUGUAAGGUUUAAACAGCAUGUGGUAAUGUAAUGUAUUGUAUUGUGACAAAGUUUAUAAAUUGACUGUUGAUUAAUAUGUAUAACCAAACUUUUGGCUGCCCCUUCUAAAAUUAAUAAAAAUGAUAAAAAUACCAAACAUUUGGCAAGAAAUUAAAUUGCAUAAGAGCAAUCAAUUGCCCAUUUCUAGAGCUUUAGUAGUAGUGGUGGUAGUAGGCAGCUGCUUCAUUUACAAUAUGCUGUUUUCUUUUGAAAGUUGCAACUCAAGACUUCAUAUUUAAAAGCUCUCCACUUUCUAUUAUUAUUAUUGUUUGUUUUUUCUUUUUUGCUUUCUUUCUCCUUUUAGUGUGUGAGUGAGAUGUUUUCACCCAUAAAAUGAAAAUAUCUAUGUUUGUUUAAAUUAUUAUAACUUUAAAAGCUAUCACUAUUCUUUUAAUCAACAAAAUCAUGCAUCCAUCCAACCAAAUAUCAUAUAAUACGACCUUAUAUAGUCUCUUAAUAACCACUACAUUUCUUUUAGCAUUAUAUGUGUAAACUAAACUUAUAAUUAAGUACUAUCAAAUCAAAUAAUGUUUACAUAUAUCAUUUAUUUAUAAUAGAUGUCUCAACUAUUUUAUAACAUUUGGGUGUCAAAGAAAUUCGUAUUUCCUUAAUAGGUGGUAAUCAUAAAUUGAACACAUGAUCUCUUAAUUAAUUUUUUUCACCUUUGAGCCAGCAUAUAAAUGAGUAAAUUGUUCGUCACAUUUCUAAAAUCGACUGACAAUAAAAAAAUAACUUACUCAUAUUUUAAAAGACGUGAGAUACCUUCUUUCGAUGUACUUUCCUUAAUAUGUCCCAUCAGGAAGCUAUAUAUCAAUCUAUAGGUUUACCAUUUUUAGGUUGGAAUUAAACUAACUUUUACUUUUCCUUUCAUCCACUACCAUAUCAAUAAUGUAUUUUUUUUUUUCCAACUAAUCCUAGAAAUCAACGGUUGGCUCAAAUGAACCUAUUUUUAUAGAACAAAUGAAACUUUUUUCAUCUCACUAUAUUACGAUAAUAAUAAAUAAAUAUAUAUCUAUAUCUAUAUAUAUAUAUAUAUAAGCCUAUGGAAAGAUAACCCUUUUAACAGUAUAAUUCACAAAAACCACCAAUCCUUUGAACCGUAUAAACAUAUAAUAUAUAUAUAUAUAUUAGAAAAUGAUAAUAUUGCGUGAGACAAAGUAAGAGAAAUUAUGGGAUAAUUAUGAAACAAAAAAUCUAUGAAACUAUGAAAAAUCAAUUUGUUUUCCCACGUGAUCAAAGAGAAAUCAAGAUAUUUAAAGGGAAAAAAAAAAGAAGUUAUAAUAUAAGCAUGAUCCUUUUAACAAAGAGUGGAGUGGAUAUGUUUCGUUUAAUUUUGGAAAAUGCCAAAGUUCUAUAUAAAUAAAAAGGUAAAAUUUUAUGCUAUUUUCAACUUUAUCACAUGGUUUAAACAAGAAAUACAUGUUCUAUACGAAACAAGCAAAUUACACCCCACAUUAAACUUAGUGCAAACUUUGUCCAUAAAAGGAGAGCCUCUAUGGAAUAUUUUUUGUUGGCAAUUUUAGUUAUUACUAGUUUCAUUUUAUGGACUUCUAUUUUUUCUUUCUUUUCUUCAAUGCCACCAUCUAUAUAAUACCUACGUUCAUCGGUAAACAUACAAAGUUUCUUUCUUUCUUUCUUUUCUUUUUAUAUGGGUGGCUCAUUCAAUCCAAGACACAUUUAUGAUUAAUGACAUGUCUCUCACAAAUGUAUGAAAUUCCACCUUCUACCUGCACAAAAGCGCACUACCGCACUAGAGAUGGUCAUGACUCAUGUCUGUUGUAGCUCUCAUCUGUUGUCCAUCCAUAUUGCAAUAAAAAAAAUUCUAUUGUGUUUUCCCUAUUUUUCUCAUGGUUAGUCUCUUUUUCUUUUCUUUGGUGAAAAAUAAAAAUUGUAAUAGAAAACCAUCAUGUUAGGGUUACACAUGGUCAUCAUCAUUUUUCUCAUAGUUUGUUGUGUUUUUCUUAAUCACGAUAGAGCGUUUAUAGCAGUGCUAUAAUAGAUAUAGUCAUCCCUAGUGUGAUACAUUGUAAAAUGCAGUCUUCACGUAAGCAAUUUCAUAUGUUUGUAAGCUGCAAAUCAUUAAUCACGAAGACACCUCUAAAUAUGUCGUCAUGUGUACCAAAAGGAAAGGGAAAAAGUAAAAACAACAACAAUAACAAAGUUUGAUGAAUUAGCAAACCUACAGCCUAAAUUUGUAACUAAAAAAAUAAAAAAAAAAACCACCUACAAAAUAUACAAUCAACUUAUGGACCUUAUACAAAUGACUUUAUACAUGAGUUGGACAUCUUCUAAAAAUUUCAUGACAUGAUAUACAUCUACAACAUGUUAACGCAAUUUUAUCAUUUAGAAUAACAAGAUACACAAUUAAAAAUUUAAGUUAGUAUUUAGUUUUAAAUUCUUGCAUUAGCUUAGAAACAACAAUACCACUAAUAUCACUAGCAAGCUCAAAGUAAACAAUAUCAUAUAAUAAGAAGAAUAUAUAUAGAUCAAUUGUUGAGUACACCAAAAAAAAUCAAGUUUGAUUCAUAUGAAAAAGAAGAAGAAUAAAAUGAAACGUUUGAGUAAUAUUCUCCUAGUAUAUGAAAAUCAUGAAAUGAAAAACUUUUAUGGGGGUGGGGAGGCAAGCAAAACUAAAGAAGGGGCUUUAUGCAUUUUAAAGGAGAGAGAAUAUGUCACAUAAACGCAUAUAAAAGAGACCCCCACCAAUUGGUCCAAUUCCCAUCUCUAUAAAUUAAAAUCUUUUCCUUGCAUGCCCAACACUCACUUUGCUUUCUCCCUUCUCUCUCUCUCUUUUCUUUUUUUUCUCUCUUUCCUAAGCCACAGGGGAAAAAGAAACAGCAAGGGGUAAAGGAAGGGGAAAAUAUGCUUGCAGAAGAGAAGUCCCAAAAGUACCCGACAAUGCCAGAGGUACGAAAAAAAAAAAACCUUGUAGAGAGAAUAAUAGCACUAUAUAUUUAUUGUUAAUGGCGUACCUGUUUGUUUGCUAACUUGAUGGAGUUUCCUCUCCUUUUUUGAAGGUCCUUGACGAGCUGAAGCAAAUGGCUGACAUUGGCUUCCCUGUUUUGGCAAUGGGUUUAGUGGGAUAUCUCAAAAAUAUGAUCUC
RNAcentral lists this long non-coding RNA (4037 nucleotides) under Cucumis sativus (cucumber). RNAcentral's name for it is "long non-coding RNA (CSAT_LNC002373)". The record is from RNAcentral. Lineage: Eukaryota; Viridiplantae; Streptophyta; Magnoliopsida; Cucurbitales; Cucurbitaceae.